Molecule: long non-coding RNA, 5104 nt
Filed under: Salmo salar (Atlantic salmon)
Lineage: Eukaryota; Metazoa; Chordata; Actinopteri; Salmoniformes; Salmonidae
Description: lncRNA (ENSSSAG00000094963.1)
Rfam family: UnaL2 LINE 3' element (bases 2413-2466)
Source: RNAcentral
CUGAGGUGUGUUGGUGAGGAUGAGUGGUUCUGUGUUGUAUUCCUCAAAGAUGAACUUGUAUUUAAUCAAAUUAAUCAGGUCUAAUGAGGGCCACCAGUCCUACUAUAAUUGAUGUGAGAAGGCUACAGCUAACAAAGACUCAGAAAAUGUCAGAGGACACUACAUUAACCUUUGCAUACACAUUUUGUUCUCUUUAGUAAGCCUUGUAUACUAUUUGAUAAAUAACUUACAUUUCUUCAAGCAUAUCUUGAACAUACUAUAUUAUUUUUUGCUCGCAUAUAGUUCCACCAACCAGCGCUGUGUUUAACAAGUAGGCCUUCAGUAUCAAUACCUACAGUUGAAUUCGAAAGUUUACAUACACCUUAGCCAAAUACAUUUAAACUCAGUUUUUCACAAUCCCUUACAUUUAAUCCCAGUAAAGAUUCCCUGUCUUAGGUCAGUUAGGAUCACCAUUUUAUUUUAAGAUUGUGAAAUGUCAGAAUAAUAGUAGAGAGAAUGAUUCACUUCAGCUUUUAGUUCUUUCAUCACAUUCCCAGUGGGUCAGAGGUUUUCAUACACUCAAUUAGUAUUUGGUAGCAUUACCUUUAAAUUGUUUAACUUGGGUCAAAUGUUUCAGGUAGCCUUCCACAAGCUUCCCACAAUAAGUUGGGUGAAUUUCAGCCCAUUUCUCAUUUACAUUUUAGUCAUUUAGCAGACGCUCUAAUCCAGAGCGACUUUUUUGUACUGGCCCCCAGUGGGAAUUGAACCCACAAUGCUGGCAUUGCAAACACCAUGCUCUACCAACUGAACCACAGGGAAGACCGAGCUGGAGUAACUGGAGCUGGAGUAACUGGAGCUGGAGUAACUGAGUCAGAUAACCAUGGUUGACAGAGGAAGAACAAUGAUUCCAAGCACCACCCUCCUUUUGAAGCUUCCAGUCUGUUUUUCGAACUCAAUCAGUAUGACAGAGUGAUCUCCAGCCUUGUCCUCGUCAACACUCACACCUGUGUUAACGAGAGAAUCACUGACAUGAUGUCAGCUGGUCCUUUUGUGGCAGGGCUGAAAUGCAGUGUAAAUGUUUUUGGGGGCUUCAGUUCUUUUGCAUGGCAAAGAGGGACUUUGCAAUUAAUUGCAAUUCAUCUAAUCACUCUUCAUAACAUUCUGGAGUAUAUGCAAGUUGCCAUCAUACAAACUGAGGCAGCAGACUUCGUGAAAAUUAAUAUUUGUGUCAUUCUCAAAACUUUUGGCCACGACUGUAGAAGACCCUCAUGCCAAAUUGAGUCAAAGGUUUUUGAAAUCAACAAAGCAUGUGAAGACUUUGCCUUUGUUUUGGUUUGUUUGUUUGUCAAUUAGGGUGUGCAGGGUUUACACAUGGUCUGUCGUACGGUAAUUUGGUAAAAAGCCAAUUUGACAUUUGCUCAGUACAUUGUUUUCUCUGAGGAAAUGUACGAGUCUGUAUUUUCCCAAAGUUGCUGUUGACGCAUAUCCCACGGUGGUAAUUGGGGUCAAAUUUGUCUCCACUUUUGUGGAUUGGGGUGAGCAGGCCUUGGUUCCAAAUAUUGGGAUAUAUGCCAGAGCUAAGGAUGAUGUUAAAGAGUUUAAGUAUAGCCAAUUGGAAUUUGUUGUCUGUAUAUUGUAUCAAUUCAUUGAGGAUACCAUCAACAGCACAGGCCUUUUUGGGACGGGGGGGUUUGUAUUUUGUCCUGUAGUUCAUUCAAUGUAAUGGGAGAACUGUGGGUUCCGGUAGUCUUUAAUAGCUGAUUCUAAGAUUUGUAUUUGAUCAUUUGUGUUUUUGCUGUUUGUUCUUUGUUAAAGGGCCAAAAAUAUGGUUUACCCAUACAUCUCCAUUUUGGAUAGAUAACUCUUUGUGUUGUUGUUUGUUUAAUGUUUUCCAAUUUUGGAUUCUUCAAUUACAUUGAGCUGAUUUCUGACGUGCUGUUCCUUCUUUUUCUAUUGUAUUUCUGUAUUGUUUUAGUGAUUAACCACAGUGAUAGGGAAGCUGAGAGGUCAAAUAUAUUGUCUAGAUUUUCUACUGCCAAGUUGUAACGGUUUUGACUUGAGGUUAUUGUUUGUAGGGGUGCCAGGUAGGUUGUGCCUACCAGAGAAAAUAUUGAUUUCUCCUUUUGAUUUGGGAGGGAAUGAGUCCCGUCUGGUCCGUCAAGUCUACACCAAUACAAAGGACUCAUGUAAAAGUCAGUAUGGAAACACUUUCACAAACCUUUAAAACGUUGGAAAUAACUUCAAAACAAAUGUGUUAUUUUCCGUGGGUUGUAUUACAACAUAAAUUGUAAUAUAAUGGCCUUCCCUGUGGCUCAGUUGGUAUAGCAUGGUGUUUGCAAUGCCAGCAUGGUGUGUGCAACGCCAGGGUUGUGGGUUCAAUUCCCACGGGGGGCCAGUAAAUAAUACAAAAUUUAAAAAAAUGCAUGAAAUGUAUGCAUUCACUACUGUAAGUCACUCUGGAUAAGAGCAUCUGCUAAAUGACUAAAAUGUAAAAAUAAAUGAUCACAAACAAACAAUGAGCUCUGGUUCCUCCAGAAAAGUCCUGUACCUCGGACCUAAAAGAGUCCAGCCCAGUAAAGGAGUUCAGGGAACUCAAGUGACCUUAGUCAAGCAAUGUUUGUCCUUUCAUAAAAUUGUAGCGUAAACCCAGUCUUCAAUCAAAAUAUCAAACUCUUUUACCACACAACCAUAAAGAGUAUCAAAUCGCAACACAUCUUCAACUACAACUGACCACAUCAAUCAUCACGGUAUACAUCACACUAAAACAAAUGAAACACUGUAUGCAAAAAAGUUGUAGUCAGUCAGACAAUCCAAUCUGCCAACAGAGGAGAAAGGCCAUGAAGAACCAGCAGAGACCAACUGAGAGGUGAAGUCCAAAGGAAGCAAUGAGUGGAUACAAUCCUGGUCAAAAUUGAGACAAGGCUAAAGCACAAUUUUAAAUACAACAAAACAAACGGAGUAAAGAAGAUUCGGAACUGAGGGUUCAACACAUCCUCAUUCGCACCACCAUCACAAAACCCACUUUUGCGCAGCUGAUGCUGGCUAUUAAAUUGGGAAUUAACUUUUUAAGGUAUAGGAGGCAGUAUUUUCAUUUUCGGAUGAAAAGCGUGCCCAGAGUAAACUGCCUAAUACUCGGGCCCAGAGUCAAAUAUGUGCAUAUUAUUAGUAGAUUUGGAUAGAAAACACUCGGAAGUUUCUAAAACUGUUUGGAUGAUGUCUGUGAGUAUAACAGAACUCAUAUGGCAGGCAAAAACCUGACAAAAAUCCAACCAGGAAGUGGGAAAUCUGAGAAUUGUAGUUCUUCUUUUGAAUCCCUAUCGGAACUACAGUGUCUGUGGGGUCACGUUACACUUCCUAAGGCUUCCAUUGGCUGUCAACAGCCUUUAGAAACGUGUUUCAUCCUUCUCCUUUUACUGGGCAGAAAAUAGGAGCUCAGUCAAUGAGUGGACUGCCUGGGACCAGUGAGUUGUUUACUGCGCGGGUACGUUUAGCGCGCCGCUCCUUCUUUUUCCUCUGUAAUGAAUACGCUAUUGUCCGGUUGGAAUAUUAUCGAUAUGUUAAAAAGACCCUAAGGAUUGAUUGUAAACAACGUUUGACAUGUUUCUACGAACGGUAAUGGAACUAUUUGAGUUUUUGUGUCUAGAUUUACGCUCGCGCGUUAUGCCUUUGGAUAGUGAUCUGAACGCACGAACAAAACAGAUGUAUUUGGACAUAAAUAUGGAGUAUUUAGAACAAAAAUAACAUUUCUUGUGGAAGUAGGAAUCCUGGGAGUGCAUUCUGACGAAGAUCAGCAAAGGUAAGAGAAUAUUUAUAAUACUAAUUCUGAGUUUAGUUGACCCCAGAACUUGGCGGGUAUCUGUAUAGCUUGCUUCGAUGGCUGAGCUAUGUACUCAGAAUAUUGAAAAAUGUGCUGUCUCUGUAAAGCUAUUUUAAAAUCUGACACAGCGGUUGCAUUUAGGAGAAGUAUAUCUAUAAUUCUUUCAAUAACUGUUGUAAAUUUUAUCAACGUUUAUGAUGAGUAUUUUUGUAAAUUGAUGUGCUCAUUCACCGGCGGUUUUGGCGGGAAUACAUUUUCUGAACAUCACGCGCCAAUGUAAAUUGGAUAUAAAUAUGAACUUUAUCGAGCAAAACAUACAUGUAUUGUGUAACAUUGAGUCCUGGGGGUGUCAUCUGAUGAAGAUCAUCAAAGGUUAGUGAUUAAUUUUAGCUGUAUUUCUGUUUUUUGUGACGCCUCUCCUUGCUUGGAAAAUGGCUGUGUGGUUUUUCUUGUUUAGGCGCUGUCCUAACAAUCUAAUGUUAUGCUUUCGCCGUAAAGCCUUUUUGAAAUCAGACAAUGUGGUUGGAUUAACGAGAAGAUUAUCUUUAAAAUGGGAUAUGAUAGUUGUAUGUUUGAGAAAUUUGAAUUAUGAGAUUUUUGUUGUUUUGAAUUUGCCGCCCUGCUAUUUCACUGGCUGUUGGCAGUGUGUCCCGCGGGUGGAUUUGGGGUUAUACCACCUACCAGGUAUAACCCCAAAUCCGUAACCACAGGCACACUAUUAGAUAUCCUCCUGACCAACUUGUCCUCUAAAUACACCUCUGCUAUCUUCAACCAUGAUCUCAGCGAUCACUGCCUCACUGCCUGAGUCCGUAAUGGGUCCGUGGUCAAACGACCACCCCUCAUCUCUGACAAACGCUCUGUAAACACUUCAGUGAGCAGGCCUUUCUAAUAGACCUGGUCCUGGUAUCCUGGAAGGAUAUUGACAUCAUCCCGUCAGUAGAGGAUGCCUGGUUGCUCUUUAAAAGUGCUUUCCUCACCAUCUUAAAUGAGCAUGCCCCAUUCAAAAAAUUUAGAACUAAGAACAGAUAUAGCCCUUGGUUCACCCCUGACCUGACUGCCCUUGAACAACACAAAAACAUCCUGUGGCGUUCUGCAUAAGCAUAGAAUAGCCCCCACGAUAUGCGGUUCUUCAGGGAAGUCAGGAACCAAUGUACACAGUCAGUUAGGAAAGCUAAGGCUAGCUUUAUCAAACAGAAAUUUGCAUCCUGCAGCACUAAUUCCAAAAAGUUCUGGGACACUGUAAAGUCCACGGAGAAUAAGAGCACUUCCUCCCAGCUGCCCACCGCACUGAGGCUAGGAAACGCUGAG